This 432-nucleotide ribosomal RNA is filed under the name uncultured bacterium. RNAcentral describes it as "partial 16S ribosomal RNA". It matches the Rfam family "Bacterial small subunit ribosomal RNA", at positions 29 to 506 of the family's 1533-position model. The record is from RNAcentral.
AACGAACGCUGGCGGCAUGCCUAACACAUGCAAGUCGAACGAGACCUUCGGGUCUAGUGGCGCACGGGUGCGUAACGCGUGGGAACCUGCCCUUAGGUUCGGAAUAACUCCCCGAAAGGGGUGCUAAUACCGGAUAAUGUCUUCGGACCAAAGAUUUAUCGCCUUUGGAUGGGCCCGCGUUGGAUUAGCUAGUUGGUAGGGUAAAAGCCUACCAAGGCGACGAUCCAUAGCUGGUCUGAGAGGAUGAUCAGCCACACUGGGACUGAGACACGGCCCAGACCCCCAGGGGGGGCAGCAGUGGGGAAUAUUGGAAAAGGGGCGAAAGCCUGAUCCAGCAAUGCCGCGUGAGUGAUGAAGGCUUUGGGGUUGUAAAGCUCUUUUACCCGGGAUGAUAAUGACAGUCCCGGGAAAAUAAGCCCCGGCUAACUCCGU